This is a small nucleolar RNA of Pongo abelii (Sumatran orangutan), 78 nucleotides long. Lineage: Eukaryota; Metazoa; Chordata; Mammalia; Primates; Hominidae. The record is from Ensembl.
GGUCAAUGAUGAGUUGGCAUGUAUUCUGAAUCUAAAGUUGAUUUUACUACUUUAGCUCUAGAAUUACUCUGAGACCUG